RNAcentral lists this ribosomal RNA (253 nucleotides) under uncultured bacterium. RNAcentral's name for it is "partial 16S ribosomal RNA". It matches the Rfam family "Bacterial small subunit ribosomal RNA", at positions 524 to 776 of the family's 1533-position model. The record is from RNAcentral.
UACGUAGGGGGCGAGCGUUGUCCGGAAUCAUUGGGCGCAAAGAGCGUGUAGGUGGCUUGGAAAGUCUUACGUGAAAGCCUGCGGCUCAACCGCAGAAGUGCGUAGGAAACUUCCUCGCUAGAGUCCGGAAGAGGAGAGCGGAAUUCCUGGUGUAGCGGUGGAAUGCGCAGAUAUCAGGAGGGACACCCGUGGCGAAGGCGGCUCUCUGGGACGGUACUGACACUGAGACGCGAAAGCGUGGGGAGCGAACAGG